GGAGAGAUGGCCGAGUGGUUUAAGGCGAUAGUCUUGAAAACUGUUAUAGAGGAAACUCUAUCGGGGGUUCAAAUCCCUCUCUCUCCG
This 87-nucleotide transfer RNA is filed under the name Candidatus Endomicrobiellum basalitermitum. Its description in RNAcentral is "tRNA-Ser". It matches the Rfam family "tRNA". Rfam says of the family: Transfer RNA (tRNA) molecules are approximately 80 nucleotides in length. Their secondary structure includes four short double-helical elements and three loops (D, anti-codon, and T loops). Lineage: Bacteria; Pseudomonadati; Elusimicrobiota; Endomicrobiia; Endomicrobiales; Endomicrobiaceae. The record is from RNAcentral.